Molecule: ribosomal RNA, 506 nt
Filed under: uncultured bacterium
Lineage: Bacteria
Description: partial 16S ribosomal RNA
Rfam family: Bacterial small subunit ribosomal RNA
Source: RNAcentral
AGUGAACGCUGGCGGUAGGCCUAACACAUGCAAGUCGAACGGCAGCACAGAGGAGCUUGCUCCUUGGGUGGCGAGUGGCGGACGGGUGAGGAAUACAUCGGAAUCUACUCUGUCGUGGGGGAUAACGUAGGGAAACUUACGCUAAUACCGCAUACGACCUACGGGUGAAAGCAGGGGAUCUUCGGACCUUGCGCGAUCGAAUGAGCCGGUGUUGGAUUAGCUAGUUGGCGGGGUAAAGGCCCACCAAGGCGACGAUCCGUAGCUGGUCUGAGGGGAUGAUCAGCCACACUGGAACUGAGACACGGUCCAGACUCCUACGGGAGGCAGCAGUGGGGAAUAUUGGACAAUGGGCGCAAGCCUGAUCCAGCCAUACCGCGUGGGUGAAGAAGGCCUUCGGGUUGUAAAGCCCUUUUGUUGGGAAAGAAAUCCAUCUGGUUAAUACCCGGGUGGGAUGACGGUACCCAAAGAAUAAGCACCGGCUAACUUCGUGCCAGCCGCCGCGGUAA